CUGCGAAUGGCUCAUUAUAUAAGUUAUCGUUUAUUUGAUAAUACUUUACUACUUGGAUAACCGUGGUAAUUCUAGAGCUAAUACAUGCUGAAAAUCCCGACUUCGGAAGGGAUGUAUUUAUUAGAUUAAAAACCAAUGCCCCUCGGGGCUCUCUGGUGAAUCAUGAUAACUAGUCGAAUCGACAGGCCUUGUGCCGGCGAUGGCUCAUUCAAAUUUCUUCCCUAUCAACUUUCGAUGUUUGGGUAUUGGCCAAACAUGGUGGCAACGGGUAACGGAGGGUUAGGGCUCGACCCCGGAGAAGGAGCCUGAGAAACGGCUACUACAUCCAAGGAAGGCAGCAGGCGCGCAAAUUACCCAAUCCCGACACGGGGAGGUAGUGACAAUAAAUACUGAUACAGGGCUCUUUUGGGUCUUGUAAUCGGAAUGAGUACAAUUUAAAUCCCUUAACGAGGAACAAUUGGAGGGCAAGUCUGGUGCCAGCAGCCGCGGUAAUUCCAGCUCCAAUAGCGUAUAUUAAAGUUGUUGUGGUUAAAAAGCUCGUAGUUGAACCUUGGGCCUGGCUGGCCGGUCCGCCUCACCGCGUGCACUGGUCCGGCCGGGCCUUUCCCUCUGCGGAACCCCAUGCCCUUCACUGGGUGUGGCGGGGAAACAGGACUUUUACUUUGAAAAAAUUAGAGUGCUCAAGGCAGGCCUAUGCUCGAAUACAUUAGCAUGGAAUAAUAGAAUAGGACGUGUGGUUCUAUUUUGUUGGUUUCUAGGACCGCCGUAAUGAUUAAUAGGGACAGUCGGGGGCAUCAGUAUUCAAUUGUCAGAGGUGAAAUUCUUGGAUUUAUUGAAGACUAACUACUGCGAAAGCAUUUGCCAAGGAUGUUUUCAUUAAUCAGGAACGAAAGUUAGGGGAUCGAAGACGAUCAGAUACCGUCGUAGUCUUAACCAUAAACUAUGCCGACUAGGGAUCGGACGAUGUUACAUUUUUGACGCGUUCGGCACCUUACGAGAAAUCAAA
This 1006-nucleotide ribosomal RNA is filed under the name Trichoderma sp. SB-2022a. RNAcentral describes it as "SSU rRNA". It matches the Rfam family "Eukaryotic small subunit ribosomal RNA", at positions 87 to 1102 of the family's 1831-position model. The record is from RNAcentral. Lineage: Eukaryota; Fungi; Ascomycota; Sordariomycetes; Hypocreales; Hypocreaceae.